RNAcentral lists this long non-coding RNA (579 nucleotides) under Malus domestica (apple). RNAcentral's name for it is "long non-coding RNA (MDOM_LNC014992)". The record is from RNAcentral. Lineage: Eukaryota; Viridiplantae; Streptophyta; Magnoliopsida; Rosales; Rosaceae.
AAAUCCCAAUUUGUUUUUUUUUUUCGAAUUUCUGGGGUUAAAAACCUUAUUUGAUUAAUUUCGAUGUUUUGACUCACAAAUUCCACAUAGCAUAAUUGCGUAUUGCAUGAACAAGUAUAUAUAUAUAUAUAUAUAUAUAUAUAUAUAUAUUGACAAAAUAUAUGAAUAUAAAUACAAUAUUGUUGCAGUCAUAUUUAGAAUAGGAAUGUGGUUGUGUAAAUCCUAGGGAAUCUGGGAAUGUAUCUUAUAUUCCUAUUAUGAUUAGAUUACCUAUUAAAUGUUGUAAUCCUAAAGGGAAAGGUUUUACCCUUUCUACUACUAUAAAUAAAGGCACAAUGGGGUGAAUCAAACACACCUCACAAUUAAAUCAAUCUCUCUUCUCUCUAGUAGUGGCCGGCCCCCUCUCUCUCUAAACCCUAGAUCGUUCAAUCAAAUAGGCCUACAACACGUUAUCAGCACGCUCUUGCCAGAAGCUGAGGAAUUGAUGCAUCAUUGGAGAAGGCUAUCAUCCACCAAAUUCAAAGGCUUAUUCAUUUUCUGCUAAUCAGGUAUGUUUAAAAUAAAAAAAGAUAUUUGAAA